This 253-nucleotide ribosomal RNA is filed under the name uncultured bacterium. RNAcentral's name for it is "partial 16S ribosomal RNA". It matches the Rfam family "Bacterial small subunit ribosomal RNA", at positions 524 to 776 of the family's 1533-position model. The record is from RNAcentral.
UACGAAGGGUGCGAGCGUUAUUCGGAAUCACUGGGCGUAAAGAGUGCGUAGACGGUCCAUUAAGUUUGUUGUUAAAGACUCUAGCCUAACUGGAGGGUUGCAAUGAAAACUGGUGAGCUGGAGGGUGAGAGAGAGAAGUGGAAUUCCCGGAGUAGCGGUAAAAUGCGUGGAUCUCGGGAGGAACACCAAUGGCGAAGGCAGCUUCUUGGCUCAUUCCUGACGUUGAGGCACGAAAGCGUGGGGAGCAAACAGG